This is a small nucleolar RNA of Ornithorhynchus anatinus (platypus), 138 nucleotides long. Lineage: Eukaryota; Metazoa; Chordata; Mammalia; Monotremata; Ornithorhynchidae. The record is from RefSeq and is a predicted model, not a curated record.
CCUCUCUCAGGGUUGCACCUGAAGAGUAUCCAAUACUCUACCAGGCUCGACUAUGGGAGGGACAGUCAAGCAGAGCCAUAUCCAUUCCAUUCCUAGCUUGGGCAGGGCCUAGCAAGUGGAAGGCAAUCUGCAACAAAU